RNAcentral lists this ribosomal RNA (569 nucleotides) under Sordariomycetes sp. genotype 399. Its description in RNAcentral is "eukaryotic LSU rRNA". The stretch from base 207 to 360 matches the Rfam family "5.8S ribosomal RNA". The record is from RNAcentral. Lineage: Eukaryota; Fungi; Ascomycota; Sordariomycetes.
UUCCGUAGGUGAACCUGCGGAGGGAUCAUUACAAGAAGCCGAAAGGCUACUUCAAACCAUCGCGAACUCGUCCAAGUUGCUUCGGCGGCGCGGCAUCCCGUCACCGGGGCGCCGCAGCCCGGCCUCUCCGGAGGUGCGGGGCGCCCGCCGGAGGUACGAAACUCUGUAUUAUAGUGGCAUCUCUGAGUAAAAAGCAAAUAAGUUAAAACUUUCAACAACGGAUCUCUUGGUUCUGGCAUCGAUGAAGAACGCAGCGAAAUGCGAUAAGUAAUGUGAAUUGCAGAAUUCAGUGAAUCAUCGAAUCUUUGAACGCACAUUGCGCCCGGUAGUACUCUACCGGGCAUGCCUGUUCGAGCGUCAUUUCAACCCUCAAGCCCUGCUUGGUGUUGGGGCCCUACGGCUGCCGUAGGCCCUGAAAGGAAGUGGCGGGCUCGCUACAACUCCGAGCGUAGUAAUUCAUUAUCUCGCUAGGGAGGUGCGGCGUGCUCCUGCCGUUAAAGACCCCAUCUUUAACCAAGGUUGACCUCGGAUCAGGUAGGAAUACCCGCUGAACUUAAGCAUAUCAAUAA